AGAGUUUGAUCCUGGCUCAGGACGAACGCUGGCGGCGUGCCUAACACAUGCAAGUCGAACGGUUCUUGAGGCAAGAGUCAAGAGGCCAGAAGCAGGAUUAGAAAGAAUUGGCUUUGCCAAUUCUAACAAAAAAUCUUGCAUCUUGUUUCUUGUCUCUUGCUUCUAGAAUAGUGGCGGACGGGUGAGUAACGCGUGGAUAACCUGCCUAUCAGACCGGGACAACUCUGGGAAACUGGAGCUAAUACCGGAUACGAAUAUAGGAGCGCAUGCUCUUAUAUUGAAAGAUUUAUCGCUGAUAGAUGGAUCCGCGUCCCAUUAGCUAGUUGGAGGUGUAAUAGACCCCCAAGGCGACGAUGGGUAGCCGGCCUGAGAGGGCGAUCGGCCACACUGGAACUGAGACACGGUCCAGACUCCUACGGGAGGCAGCAGUGGGGAAUAUUCCGCAAUGGGCGCAAGCCUGACGGAGCAACGCCGCGUGAGGGAAGAAGGUCUUCGGAUUGUAAACCUUUGUUCUAUGGGAAGAAAAAAAUGACGGUACCAUAGGAGAAAGCCCCGGCUAACUACGUGCCAGCCGCCGCGGUAAUAC
RNAcentral lists this ribosomal RNA (586 nucleotides) under uncultured Eubacteriales bacterium. RNAcentral's name for it is "bacterial SSU rRNA". It matches the Rfam family "Bacterial small subunit ribosomal RNA", at positions 8 to 526 of the family's 1533-position model. Lineage: Bacteria; Bacillati; Bacillota; Clostridia; Eubacteriales. The record is from RNAcentral.